AUCCUUCAGUUCCUUAGCGUGAUGAUUGGGUGUUCAUGCUUUAUGAAUGAAAUGUGCCCCCUCCAACCUUGUUAUGAUGUGGGCACGUUACUGUUCUGACG
Octodon degus (degu) is the source of this 101-nucleotide small nucleolar RNA. RefSeq annotates it as small nucleolar RNA U13. The transcript has a single exon. NCBI's taxonomy places the organism in Eukaryota, Metazoa, Chordata, Mammalia, Rodentia, Octodontidae. The record is from RefSeq and is a predicted model, not a curated record.